Molecule: ribosomal RNA, 119 nt
Filed under: Cebus imitator (Panamanian white-faced capuchin)
Lineage: Eukaryota; Metazoa; Chordata; Mammalia; Primates; Cebidae
Source: RNAcentral
AUCUAUGGCCAUGCCACCCUGAAUGCGCCCAAUCUUGUCUAAUCUUUGAAACUAAGCAGGGUCGGGCCUAGUUAGUACUUGGAUAGGAGACUGCCUGGGAAUACCGGGUGCUAUAGACU